GCUGGGCAUGGUGGUGCAUGCCUGUAAUCCCAGCUACACAGGAGGCUGAGGCAGGAGAAUCACUUGAGCCCAGGAGGCAGAGGUUGCAGUGAGCUGAGAUCUUGCCACUGCACUCUAGCCUGGGUAACAGAGUGAGACUCUGUCUCAA
This 148-nucleotide signal recognition particle RNA is filed under the name Nomascus leucogenys (northern white-cheeked gibbon). RNAcentral describes it as "Metazoan signal recognition particle RNA". It matches the Rfam family "Metazoan signal recognition particle RNA". Rfam says of the family: The signal recognition particle (SRP) is a universally conserved ribonucleoprotein. It is involved in the co-translational targeting of proteins to membranes. The record is from Rfam by way of RNAcentral. Lineage: Eukaryota; Metazoa; Chordata; Mammalia; Primates; Hylobatidae.